Molecule: non-coding RNA, 840 nt
Organism: Leptonychotes weddellii (Weddell seal)
Lineage: Eukaryota; Metazoa; Chordata; Mammalia; Carnivora; Phocidae
Source: RefSeq, a predicted model, not a curated record
CCCACUCUGUCCGCAAGAGGCUCUUGGAAUUACGAGUUACAUUUGGCAGGCAGGCGGGCUCGCAUGCCGGAGUGCUCAGCCCAGAAUUAGUGGAUUUAUUCGGAAUCUCCUUGCCUCCUCAAAUCUCCUCCGCCGUCGCCGGUCUGUGCACAGACGGUCCCGCGCACCCUCCCGCUCGCUGCACUUCGGGCCGCGGACACCCAGAGCCCAGCGCGCCCGACCCGCGUCUCCACACCGAGCCCCGCAGCUCCGAGAGGCAUGAACGGGAUCCGGAGGCGCCUGCCCGGCGCGCAGGAACCGCUGGGUGCUCGCCGCUCUCGGGAGCCGACCCCGAGCACCUGCAGCCGUUUGUGAACCGGGAGGCUUGACAUUCCCCAGCGCGGAGCCCCUCAAGAGAAAUUUCAACGAAAAGGAACACCAAUGGAUCGUAGUCUUAGAAAAGCGGCGUAGAUAAUGUCUGUUUCCUGUGCUAUAAACUCGUCGCAGAGCUGUAAGUAAAUGCUCCGCACUGCAUGAUGAAUUGGAUGGCUGCAGACCGGAGGCAAAAAAAAUAAUUGUCUCAUUUUCAUGGUGAUUUGCUUAACUGGUGGGACCAUGCCAGAACGGCUAGCGGAAAUGCUCUUGGAUCUCUGGACUCCAUUAAUAAUAUUAUGGAUUACUCUUCCCCCUUGCAUUUACAUGGCCCCGAUGAAUCAGUCUCAAGUUUUAAUGAGUGGAUCCCCUUUGGAACUAAACAGGCUGACUGAAGAACAGCGGAUUUUGAACCGCUCCAAAAGAGGCUGGGUUUGGAAUCAAAUGUUUGUCCUGGAAGAGUUUUCUGGACCUGAACCGAUUCUCGUU